AACUGCGGUCAAGUGAGCCCUCACUUGAUUUUGUUGGUCUCGCAAACACUAAGGAUUACGGCAGAGGCGGCUGAGACUACUUUUCAAAAUAAAAGCACUGACUACUUUUACUUACAGAUGACAGAUGAUGUUCUUCAGAACUUAUUCAUCAAACUGCAUCUACAUCAUUUGUGUUUUAAAAAUAAAGGCAUUUAAAAAUCUCUA
Molecule: long non-coding RNA, 204 nt
Organism: Fundulus heteroclitus (mummichog)
Lineage: Eukaryota; Metazoa; Chordata; Actinopteri; Cyprinodontiformes; Fundulidae
Exons: 2
Source: RefSeq, a predicted model, not a curated record